Molecule: ribosomal RNA, 494 nt
Filed under: uncultured bacterium
Lineage: Bacteria
Description: partial 16S ribosomal RNA
Rfam family: Bacterial small subunit ribosomal RNA
Source: RNAcentral
GACGAACGCUGGCGGCGUGCUUAACACAUGCAAGUCGAACGGAAAGGCCUGCUUUCCCUUGUGUAUUGCGGGUACUCGAGUGGCGAACGGAUGAGUACCACGUGAGUGAUCUUCUCCCAACUUGGGUAUAAGCCUGGGCUACUGCGGCUAAUUCCCUGUAGGACUGCAGUGUGCAGCCUGUGGUGGUAAACGACUUUCUUGAGGUUGGGGAUGAGCUGGCGGCUUAUCAGCUUGUUGGUGGGGUAAUGGCCUACCAAUGCGGGGACGGGUAGCCGGCCUGGGAUGGUGGACCGGAACAGUGGGACGGCGACACGGCCCCGAAGACUACGGGAGGAAGCAGUGGGGAAGAAGGCGCAGUGGGCGGAAGCCUGAUGGAGCGACGCCGAGUGGGGGAUGACGGGCUUGGGGUUGUAAACUCCUGUCGACCGAGAGGAAGCCGCCUGGAUGGAGGGGUGGUGACGGUAGUGGUAGAAGAAGCACCGGCUAACUACGUG